RNAcentral lists this ribosomal RNA (433 nucleotides) under uncultured bacterium. RNAcentral describes it as "partial 16S ribosomal RNA". It matches the Rfam family "Bacterial small subunit ribosomal RNA", at positions 29 to 507 of the family's 1533-position model. The record is from RNAcentral.
AACGAACGCUGGCGGCAUGCCUAACACAUGCAAGUCGAACGAGACCUUCGGGUCUAGUGGCGCACGGGUGCGUAACGCGUGGGAACCUGCCUUUAGGUUCGGAAUAACUCAGAGAAAUUUGAGCUAAUACCGGAUGAUGUCUUCGGACCAAAGAUUUAUCGCCUUUAGAUGGGCCCGCGUUGGAUUAGCUAGUUGGUAGGGUAAAGGCCUACCAAGGCGACAAUCCAUAGCUGGUCUGAGAGGAUGAUCAGCCACACUGGGGCUGAGACACGGCCCAGACUCCUACGGGAGGCAGCAGUGGGGAAUAUAGGACAAUGGGCGAAAGCCUGAUCCAGCAAUGCCGCGUGAGUGAUGAAGGCCUUAGGGUUGUAAAGCUCUUUUACCCGAGAUGAUAAUGACAGUAUCGGGAGAAUAAGCUCCGGCUAACUCCGUG